Molecule: long non-coding RNA, 2674 nt
Organism: Sinocyclocheilus grahami
Lineage: Eukaryota; Metazoa; Chordata; Actinopteri; Cypriniformes; Cyprinidae
Source: Ensembl
GUGGUGUGAUGUUUGUGGGCGUGGUGAGUUUUAUAGCAGCCAGCGCCACGAGAGUUUAUCCGGUUAAGUUAUACAACAAUAUCAAGUUGUUUUCCAAGAUACCGAAUAUGAUACUCUUCGUUGUAGUAACGUGUUGGAUUGGUAAGUUUUGUUACCAAGUUACUCUCAUGGGUUAAUUUAUAGCUUACUUGUUACAUUUGAUUUGAGGAUGAGUCAGCUUUACUCGCACAGUGUAUAUAUAUAUAUUUUUAAAGGCAUUGGUUUUGGUGCUGCGGCUGCUGUUGAAGAUGAGGAUGAGACCGAGUCACGUACGGUGCCUGAAGGAGGAAACCUCACCAUCUCUGUUCACUUUGAGACAUGGGACGAAGAUCCUCAGGUUUUGGUGAGCCGUCUCAAAGGCUCCUCACAGGAACAGAUAGCUCAGUUAAUCUGUCAUAACGGAGUCUGUGAGCGCGAGUGCUGGAGACCCGGAGUCUCUCUGGUAUCUGAUGGACAGAAUGUUACUCUGAUGCUGAUGAAUGUCGGCGACCAUCAAACGGGGCUUUACAAGGUUCGCAAACACAGCAACAAGCGGCUCGAAAACAAGAUUUACAACGUUACUGUUUAUGAGCCUCCACUCAGUACUAUCAUCCCAGAAAAAAUAGCUUCUGCCACGAACGGUGAAUUUACUGCAGGAAAAAGUGCAGGUGCAGUUUUAGUGGUCCUCGCUUUAGUGGUCAUCACUGGCGCUGUCAUUUAUAGGAAACACAGAAAGGCAAAUUCUGACAAAGUGCCCCAAGAGAUAGACACUGAAGCCAGCAGGUGGCACAGAUCCUAAAGUGAUCAUGCAGGUUACUUAUAGUUACUGUAUUAUUGCAAACUCAUCCAGUGCAGGACUAAGCUAAAUGGAAUAACAAGAUGGGUCGACUAUAAGGAAUCAAAAUGUUGUUUCAUUCACUGAGGAAUGUAACCACUGGUGCUGCCACUGGGACACUGGUGCUGAUUUCCCAAGAGAUCCCAGGAGAUUCUGCUGCCUUUGAUAAGAUGAUAAUUAUGGCUCCAAGCACUGACGAUUGUCCACCAGAUAGAGCCAAAGGUUUAGAAAUCCUGUUUAACCUAAUAGUUUUGCAUCAGUACGAAUGGCUAAAUAACAGUUGUUUUUAUUUGUAGCACCACUGUACACUAACAAUACCUCCUUUGUUUCCUUUAAUUAGAAAUAGGCCAUUUUGAAAAUUCUUAUUGAUCCUUAAAUGUUAACUUUUUCCUAAUCAAACCGAAUACAUGUUUGUCAAGUUGCCAGACAUGAUUAGAUAUAUUGCAAUAUUGUUUGUCUCUUUUAGUAUAAUAUAUACAAUAACAUUUCUGUAAAAGCACAUUUCACGUAAAAAGCACACUCAUUUCUUAAUAGCAUAUAAAUUAGUAUUUAAAGUAUUCAAUCAGAUACUGUGGCACAUUCUCUUGUCAAUAACUUGUCAUAAAAAAUGACAGCGCAAGAGUCAAUCGCUUUAUUGUAGCUUUUGUGAUCUCUGAGUAGUAAGCUAAUUCUGUUUUUCUGUUUCCAUCAAACCCUAACUUAAUCUCCAGCGGAGAUUCAAGAUAGUCGUAUCUGAAAAGCACAACCCUGGAGCACAAAAGCAGUCACAAGUAGCACAGGUAUAUUUGUAGCAAUAGCCAACUGUAUGGGUCAAAAUGAUUGGUUUUUCUUUUAUGCCAAAAAUCAUUAGGAUAUUAAGUAAAGAUCAUGUUCCAUGAGGAUAUUUUGUAAAUUUCCUACCGUAUAUAUAUCAAUACUUAAUUUGAUUAGUAAUAUGCAUAUGCUAAUAUGUUAUAUAUAGUAAUAUGCUAUGAACUUGAUUUGGACAAGUUUAAAGAAAAUAUUUUGAAGAAGGUGAUUAUACUUUCUUCAUCAACUUUCUACAACUUUUUGAUGUUUUUGCACCCUCAGAUUCCAGAUUUUCAAAUAGUUAUAUCUCGGCCAAAUAUUGUCCGAUCCUAACAAACCAUACAUCAAUGGAAAGCUUAUUUAUUCAGCAGAUUAUCUAUAAAACUUCGAAAAAUGGACCCUUAUGACUGGUUUUGUGGUCCAAGGUCACAUAUAAGCUGUUGGGUUUGGACCAAGAUAAUCGUCACUUGAGGCUUUAUUUAUUAUCGUUUCUUUAUGAAUUGUGAGUGGCAUUACAAUAUUUUUGUAUUGUCUGUGCAUUCUGUUUGUAUUUAUUUUAUUUAAAAUAUAUUCAAGUCUUACUGAACACAUCUCUGUUAGACUUCUCUGUACAAAGGCAUUUACAACAGUGCAUUUCUUUAUAUUUGCAUAAUCAUACAACAAAAUGUCUUUAGAUUAAAACGGGUUAAGCAGAAUUGUCAGUUGAUUGGAUUGGAAAAUGGAAGCAGAACCAAAAAAGUUGAAAGUAAAAACUUUUUUUAUCAUCUUAAAUGCUUUUCUCUUACUUACAGUAUGUGUGUUGGCUAAAAUGAUUCUUGUAAUGUAACGACAGAAAGUAAACAUACACAGAGAAAAACAUGUGCAUCUCAUAAAAGAAGUGAUCAGAUUAUGUAUUAGUGUCCCGAAUUAUCAUUAGCUGUGAGAUGUGCUACUUACCUAAAUAAAAGUACAAUGUACAAAACAAUACAUAAUUAUAAAAGCAUUUUGUGUAUAUUGUCUAGCAACAAAAAAGUGCAGCAAUGGUAUAUACAC